GGGCUAAUCACGGUUGGACAUCGUGAGGUUAGUGCAAUGGCAUAAGCCCGCUUGACUGCGAGAAUGACAAUUCGAGCAGGUGCGAAAGCAGGACAUAGUGAUCCGGUGGUUCUGAAUGGAAGGGCCAUCGCUCAACGGAUAAAAGGUACUCCGGGGAUAACAGGCUGAUACCGCCCAAGAGUUCACAUCGACGGCGGUGUUUGGCACCUCGAUGUCGG
RNAcentral lists this non-coding RNA (218 nucleotides) under Curtobacterium sp. MCBA15_008. RNAcentral's name for it is "partial 23S ribosomal RNA". It matches the Rfam family "Bacterial large subunit ribosomal RNA", at positions 2318 to 2535 of the family's 2925-position model. The record is from RNAcentral. Lineage: Bacteria; Bacillati; Actinomycetota; Actinomycetes; Micrococcales; Microbacteriaceae.